GUCGUGAGAUGUUGGGUUAAGUCCCGCAACGAGCGCAACCCCUGUCCUAUGUUGCCAGCGUGAAAGACGGGGACUCAUAGGAGACUGCCGGUGACAAAUCGGAGGAAGGUGGGGAUGACGUCAAGUCAUCAUGCCCCUUAUGUCUUGGGCUACAAACGUGCUACAUUGGCCGGUACAAAGGGCUGCAAACCUGCGAGGGUGAGCGAAUCCCAAAAAGCCGGUCCCGGUUCGGAUUGGAGGCUGAAACUCGCCUCCAUGAAGGCGGAGUUGCUAGUAAUCGCGGAUCAGCAACGCCGCGGUGAAUAUGUUCCCGGGCCUUGUACACACCGCCCGUCACACCACGAAAGUUGGCAAUACCCGAAGCCGGUGGCCUAACCCGCAAGGGAGGGAGCCGUCGAAGGUAGGGUCGAUGAUUGGGGUGAAGUCGUAACAAGGUAGCCGUAGCGGAAGCUGCGGCUGGAUCACCUCCUUUCUAGGGAUUCCGGAGCUAUUACUCCGGGGGCGCUCGACCUGUUGAUGAUGGCUUCGGCCGUCCAGACCUCGAGCUCGCCUAGAAGUAUGUCGACCUCGACGAAAACAAUCGCUGCUGAGUUUUGAGAGACCGUCCUUUCGGGCGGUUUUCUCUGUCUAGGCGGGCGCGGCCCGCGUGCACCUUGAAAACUCCAUAGCGACACACAACGUGUUCUUUUCGAUCAAGAGAACAAGAGCACACGGUGGAUGCCUUGGCGCCAAGAGCCGAUGAAGGACGUGGGCGGCUGCGAUAAGCGCGGGGGAGGUGCUGACCAACCUUUGAUCCCGCGAUUU
RNAcentral lists this small RNA (804 nucleotides) under uncultured Rubrobacterales bacterium. Its description in RNAcentral is "bacterial SSU rRNA". The stretch from base 1 to 472 matches the Rfam family "Bacterial small subunit ribosomal RNA", at positions 1064 to 1533 of the family's 1533-position model. The record is from RNAcentral. Lineage: Bacteria; Bacillati; Actinomycetota; Rubrobacteria; Rubrobacterales.